Molecule: ribosomal RNA, 325 nt
Filed under: uncultured Chloroflexota bacterium
Lineage: Bacteria; Bacillati; Chloroflexota
Description: bacterial SSU rRNA
Rfam family: Bacterial small subunit ribosomal RNA
Source: RNAcentral
GAUGAACGCUGGCGGCGUGCCUAAUACAUGCAAGUCGAACGAAGUUAUUGUAGCAAUACGAUAACUGAGUGGCGAACGGGUGAGUAACGCGUUGGUGACCUGCCCCGAAGAGGGGGAUAACAGUCCGAAAGGAUUGCUAAUACCCCAUAAUGUCACCGGUUUUAGAAUCUGGUAACGAAAGUCGCAAGACACUUUGGGAGGGACCUGCGUCCCAUCAGCUAGUUGGUAAGGUAACGGCCUACCAAGGCAAUGACGGGUAGGGGACCUUAGAGGGUGGACCCCCACAAUGGCACUGAAACACGGGCCAUACACCUACGGGUGGCAG